This 253-nucleotide ribosomal RNA is filed under the name uncultured bacterium. RNAcentral's name for it is "partial 16S ribosomal RNA". It matches the Rfam family "Bacterial small subunit ribosomal RNA", at positions 524 to 776 of the family's 1533-position model. The record is from RNAcentral.
CACGGGGGUUGCGAGCGUUAUCCGGAUUUACUGGGUGUAAAGGGCGUGCAGGCGGGCUGACAAGUCGGAUGUGAAAUUUCCGGGCUUAACCCGGAAGGGUCAUCCGAAACUGUCGGUCUUGAGUACUGGAGAGGAUAGUGGAAUUCCUAGUGUAGCGGUAAAAUGCGUAGAUAUUAGGAGGAACACCAGUGGCGAAGGCGGCUAUCUGGACAGUAACUGACGCUGAGGCGCGAAAGCGUGGGGAGCAAACAGG